This 303-nucleotide unclassified non-coding RNA is filed under the name Paragonimus westermani. Its description in RNAcentral is "ITS1". The record is from RNAcentral. Lineage: Eukaryota; Metazoa; Platyhelminthes; Trematoda; Plagiorchiida; Troglotrematidae.
UACCUGUCUGAUGCCCUACGUUUUGCUUGCCAUUUUCGAAUGGUCAGUCCAUCUCGUGGGUGACGGGUUGUGCUGUCUUCACGGACAGUGCUAGGCUUAAUGAGUGGUACGGCAUAUUGAGCUACGGCUCGGCCACCGCCCUGUUUGUUUCAAUUUAUGCCAUUUUACACUGUUCAAGUGGUUCAGGUCAGCUCGUCUGGGCUGUUCCACUGCCCGACAUGCACCCGGCCUCGUGCUGGACUGCAUGUACAGUCGCCUGGCGGUGCCUUAUCCCGGGCUAGACUGGUUAACCAUACAUCGUUC